This 253-nucleotide ribosomal RNA is filed under the name uncultured bacterium. RNAcentral describes it as "partial 16S ribosomal RNA". It matches the Rfam family "Bacterial small subunit ribosomal RNA", at positions 524 to 776 of the family's 1533-position model. The record is from RNAcentral.
UACAGAGGGGGCAAGCGUUGUUCGGAAUUACUGGGCGUAAAGGGCGCGUAGGCGGCCUGUUAAGUCAGACGUGAAAUCCCUCGGCUCAACCGGGGAACUGCGUCUGAUACUGGCGGGCUUGAAUUCGGGAGAGGGAUGUGGAAUUCCAGGUGUAGCGGUGAAAUGCGUAGAUAUUCGGAGGAACACCAGAAGCGAAGGCGGCUCACUGGCCCGAUACUGACGCUGAGGCGCGAAAGCGUGGGGAGCAAACAGG